AUACGGAGGGUGCAAGCGUUGUUCGGAAUCACUGGGCGUAAAGGGCGCGCAGGCGGUUUGGUAAGUCAGAUGUGAAAGCCCAUGGCUCAACCAUGGAAGUGCAUUUGAAACUGUCAGACUUGAGUACUAGAGGGGAUAGUGGAAUUCCCGGUGUAGAGGUGAAAUUCGUAGAUAUCGGGAGGAAUACCGGUGGCGAAGGCGACUUUCUGGCUAGAUACUGACGCUGAGGCGCGAAAGCGUGGGGAGCAAACAGGAUUAGAUACCCUAGUAGUCC
RNAcentral lists this ribosomal RNA (274 nucleotides) under uncultured bacterium. RNAcentral describes it as "partial 16S ribosomal RNA". It matches the Rfam family "Bacterial small subunit ribosomal RNA", at positions 523 to 796 of the family's 1533-position model. The record is from RNAcentral.